ACACACACACACACUCUCUCCCCCCCUCUGCUUAUGAUAUCCUAUAUAUAGAAAAAUGCCUACCACUUUGAUAUUGAACAAAGAUGGUAAUAUCCUCUUCACUUCGACAGCCGUUUUAACAAAAACGUCAUCGAGCACGUUUCUGUUACAUCCAUAGUAAUCCAUUGUUGUAUCGUGUUGGUUUUUGUUAUCACUUUUUGAUCUUAUUAGAACUCGCGAAGACACACUUACGUUUUUCUUUUUUUUUUUUUCCUUUUUUUUUCUUUUUCUUUCUUUUUUUUUUUUUUUUUUUAUAUGUUAAAACGUUUAUAUCUGUUUAUAUACGAAGACGAAAAGAAUGCGAAUGAAAAGAAACGUGAAAAGUUUCGUUAUAUUAAGCACGAAUGAUAAAUUUAACCUUGUUUCCAGAACGCACAAGUUGCAUUGAAAUAAUGUAAGAAGGCCUUGCGGAAUGCAUAAAGGUUAUUAAAAAAUUGCAGGUCGAAAGAAACGUGAUAUGGAACGAGCAGAUGUUUUCAAAUUGCUUGAACGCACUCUCCGUUCUCUCCCGGCACUACACUAGACAUUUUUCUAUAGUCCUCGCCCAUAUUUCGUCACACACGACGAUGACGCGACUCGAUGCGUCGCAAAAUACGAACGAUCUUUAUAGAUUUCUUCUCUUAAUAAAUUAUGUGCUGCUGUAUUGUUCGGUUCUUAUGUCGAUCCUAUGACGUUCCAGUUGCACGCGACUCGAAUUUUCAACGAGAGAAACACCGAAGUCACGAAUUUCUCUAUAUACUUUGAUAUGCGUGCUUCUUCUAUUUAGUCGCGUGGCAGGCCACCGGUUAACCAGGAGUGUCGUUAAAGAAAUUAUUACGAAUGUAAUGAAAAGACAAUUACACGACAAUAACUUUUUGACUCUAUUCCUUCGUUAAUAUAAGAAAAAAUGAAUGAGAAAAGCUUAGGGCCUGGAAACGAGUCGAUCGAUACCUGGCGCUUGAUUCGGCUAAGUUCGACAAACUUCGUUGCCAAGAAAGUAGGAGAGAGAAGAAAAGGGGGUAUUAGAGUUACUCCAACUGUAUAUGCUUGCUGUGUAUCGGGAAAAAUAUUUUCGCGCGAUAUUGAUCGAGAGCAACGCAAAGAAAAUCACAAACAUAACUAGAUAUUAUGCAAACUUUACCAGAUUCAGGUCCAGGUCCAGGUUGAAAAUAAACGUGUAAUAAAGCAGGUGAAACGUAAAAAUACUUAUCUUCAACAUUACCAAAAGUGUACGCCUUUCUGCAUGAUAUUAAAAAUAGAAUAAAAAAGAUAGUAAUACUUCGAAAUAAUUUAUAUUUGUAAGAAAAUUCUCCGAAUCUGUUAAUCUAAAUGAAAAUUAAGAUUUUUUAAAUAUAUAUCGAAUUUUAUCAGAGGUAAAAAUCAUUUGCAUUAAAUUCUAUUCAAGUCUGUAUUUAUAUCUUAAGAAUCAUAAAAAGAAAUUAGCUAGUAAGGAGUUGCUAGUUACCUUUACCUAUAUAACCUUCGCCCCUAUCAUCAUCUUCGACAAAUCUGUCAUUAAUGUAACUUUCUUUACAAUUAAUCAGCAUUUUUCUCUAGAAGCCAAAGAAAUUGCAGAUGCUAUUUAUAAUAUACU
Molecule: long non-coding RNA, 1612 nt
Organism: Vespa velutina
Lineage: Eukaryota; Metazoa; Arthropoda; Insecta; Hymenoptera; Vespidae
Exons: 3
Source: RefSeq, a predicted model, not a curated record